CCGGUAAACGGCGGCCGUAACUAUAACGGUCCUAAGGUAGCGAAAUUCCUUGUCGGGUAAGUUCCGACCUGCACGAAUGGCGUAAUGAUGGCCAGGCUGUCUCCACCCGAGACUCAGUGAAAUUGAACUCGCUGUGAAGAUGCAGUGUACCCGCGGCAAGACGGAAAGACCCCGUGAACCUUUACUAUAGCUUGACACUGAACAUUGAGCCUUGAUGUGUAGGAUAGGUGGGAGGCUUUGAAGUGUGGACGCCAGUCUGCAUGGAGCCGACCUUGAAAUACCACCCUUUAAUGUUUGAUGUUCUAACGUUGACCCGUAAUCCGGGUUGCGGACAGUGUCUGGUGGGUAGUUUGACUGGGGCGGUCUCCUCCUAAAGAGUAACGGAGGAGCACGAAGGUUGGCUAAUCCUGGUCGGACAUCAGGAGGUUAGUGCAAUGGCAUAAGCCAGCUUGACUGCGAGCGUGACGGCGCGAGCAGGUGCGAAAGCAGGUCAUAGUGAUCCGGUGGUUCUGAAUGGAAGGGCCAUCGCUCAACGGAUAAAAGGUACUCCGGGGAUAACAGGCUGAUACCGCCCAAGAGUUCAUAUCGACGGCGGUGUUUGGCACCUCGAUGUCGGCUCAUCACAUCCUGGGGCUGAAGUAGGUCCCAAGGGUAUGGCUGUUCGCCAUUUAAAGUGGUACGCGAGCUGGGUUUAGAACGUCGUGAGACAGUUCGGUCCCUAUCUGCCGUGGGCGCUGGAGAACUGAGGGGGGCUGCUCCUAGUACGAGAGGACCGGAGUGGACGCAUCACUGGUGUUCGGGUUGUCAUGCCAAUGGCACUGCCCGGUAGCUAAAUGCGGAAGAGAUAAGUGC
RNAcentral lists this ribosomal RNA (852 nucleotides) under Escherichia coli. RNAcentral describes it as "partial 23S ribosomal RNA". It matches the Rfam family "Bacterial large subunit ribosomal RNA", at positions 1920 to 2771 of the family's 2925-position model. The record is from RNAcentral. Lineage: Bacteria; Pseudomonadati; Pseudomonadota; Gammaproteobacteria; Enterobacterales; Enterobacteriaceae.